AUGAACGCUGGCGGCGUGCCUAAUACAUGCUAGUCGAGCGAACAGACGAGGAGCUUGCUCCUCUGACGUUAGCGGCGGACGGGUGAGUAACACGUGGAUAACCUACCUAUAAGACUGGGAUAACUUCGGGAAACCGGAGCUAAUACCGGAUAAUAUAUUGAACCGCAUGGUUCAAUAGUGAAAGACGGUUUUGCUGUCACUUAUAGAUGGAUCCGCGCCGCAUUAGCUAGUUGGUAAGGUAACGGCUUACCAAGGCAACGAUGCGUAGCCGACCUGAGAGGGUGAUCGGCCACACUGGAACUGAGACACGGUCCAGACUCCUACGGGAGGCAGCAGUAGGGAAUCUUCCGCAAUGGGCGAAAGCCUGACGGAGCAACGCCGCGUGAGUGAUGAAGGUCUUCGGAUCGUAAAACUCUGUUAUUAGGGAAGAACAAAUGUGUAAGUAACUAUGCACGUCUUGACGGUACCUAAUCAGAAAGCCACGGCUAACUACGUG
This 496-nucleotide ribosomal RNA is filed under the name uncultured bacterium. Its description in RNAcentral is "partial 16S ribosomal RNA". It matches the Rfam family "Bacterial small subunit ribosomal RNA", at positions 29 to 507 of the family's 1533-position model. The record is from RNAcentral.